GACGAACGCUGGCGGCGUGCCUAAUACAUGCAAGUUGAGCGCUGAAGGUUGGUACUUGUACCAACUGGAUGAGCAGCGAACGGGUGAGUAACGCGUGGGGAAUCUGCCUUUGAGCGGGGAACACCAUUUGGAAACGAAUGUUAAUACCGCAUAAAAACUUUAAACACAAGUUUUAAGUUUGAAAGUUCCAAUUGCAUCACUCAAAGAGGAUCCCCCGUUGUAUUAGCUAGUUGGUGAGGUAAAGGCUCACCAAGGCGAUGAUACAUAGCCGACCUGAGAGGGUGAUCGGCCACAGUGGGACUGAGACACGGCCCAAACUCCUACGGGAGGCAGCAGUAGGGAAUCUUCGGCAAUGGACGAAAGUCUGACCGAGCAAAGCCGCGUGAGUGAAGAAGGUUUUCGGAUCGUAAAACUCUGUUGGUAGAGAAGAACGUUGGUGAGAGUGGAAAGCUCAUCAAGUGACGGUAACUACCCAGAAAGGGACGGCUAACUACGUG
Molecule: ribosomal RNA, 497 nt
Filed under: uncultured bacterium
Lineage: Bacteria
Description: partial 16S ribosomal RNA
Rfam family: Bacterial small subunit ribosomal RNA
Source: RNAcentral